This 72-nucleotide transfer RNA is filed under the name Camelus bactrianus (Bactrian camel). It matches the Rfam family "tRNA". Rfam says of the family: Transfer RNA (tRNA) molecules are approximately 80 nucleotides in length. Their secondary structure includes four short double-helical elements and three loops (D, anti-codon, and T loops). RNAcentral also lists the same sequence under 2 other names. Lineage: Eukaryota; Metazoa; Chordata; Mammalia; Artiodactyla; Camelidae. The record is from Rfam by way of RNAcentral.
GGUGGUAUAGCUCAGUGGUAGAAAGUGUGUUUGGCAUGCACAAGGUCCUAGGUUCAAUCCCCAGUACCUCCG